This is an unclassified non-coding RNA of Stegodyphus dumicola, 2556 nucleotides long. The record is from RefSeq and is a predicted model, not a curated record. NCBI's taxonomy places the organism in Eukaryota, Metazoa, Arthropoda, Arachnida, Araneae, Eresidae.
AAGUCUAAUGAGAAAAUGUAUCUAUUUUUUUACUGUGACGUGAAUGAUUACUGUAACAGUAUUUGUAUAAAAAGCAUUACUCUAUUUACCGCUGCAACGUAAGACCGUUAGUAGUUGGUAGGAAAUGGCGUGAAAUGUGUGUUUGAAAAUUGUUAUAUGGCCUACAGCGGUAAUAUGAGAAUUGUUUUCAAUGCAUGGGUAACAAACAAUAGCAAUAUGUAUUAAUGUAAUACAUUUAUAUGUGAUAAUAUAUGAAGCAAUAUAUUGGAAGUAUUUCUUGGGGGGAAAAAAAGGAGCAUUUGAAAAUUCAUAGAAAUUUGAACGAAACGUAUAAAGCUCCUUAUACAUUUUUCACUGAGUUUUCCAGGCAGAAAUUUAAAUUUCUUGACGUUUAAAGUUGUUUAUGGACCAGCGGCUGUUUCCAUAUAAUACAUUUUAUUCGGGUCUUUCCAGAUGGUACUGCUUGCCAUUGAAGGACAUAAUGAUACAUAUCCUGAUGAAAAUACUGUUUAUUUUAAACUACAUUGUCUUUAAAAUUGCUCUUGAUGAUGGUGAAUAUACUGUAAUGCUGUGUGCCUUUCAUCAAAUUGACAAAUAUAUUCUUUCAACUGUUAUCAAAAACUUGCAUUGUUUGCAAAAGGAAUUUUUCAGCCCAUGAAAUGGAAGUAUAGCUGAAAUAUGUAUGAUAUUAAGCCCCCUUCUUCAUGUUUUAAAUCUUCUAAUGACACUUGAAUGUUUAUCACUGAAUUAUAAGACAAGGAAUACUUCUCAGUGGAUAGCCACAAAUAGAAAUCAAGAAUAAAUGGCUGGUUUUACAGAAGACAAUUGAUUCAUCAUGUACCAAAUAAAUUUUUGUAUAAAUAUGAAGAAACAUGCAAACUAUAGAAUGGUGUUCUUUUGCAUGUUUGUUUUGUUCCUUAUGGCAUUGGCUAUAUUUUUGUCAUACCUGUUAGUUGAAGAAUGUCUUUAUUGUAAUUAAUGAUUUUUUAAAAAAGGAAGAGCUAUGUGUAAUGUUAGUUUAAAAGAUAUAAUAGGACAUUAACAUGAUAUUACUCUGUAUUCGUAUUGUGUCUUGUUUGUGUAGGAGCUGCUUGUGUAUGUCUUCUGAUUUUCAAGUUGGAGGAGUUUCACAAGAAGUGAAUUCACUUAAAAUUGUAUGUCAAAAUUUGCAAAAUAUUUACAGAAAUUUGUGAAAUGAUGAAACAAAUUUAUGUUGAUAAGUAUUUAAGUAUACAAUGUUAUGAAUGUGUUAAAUAAUUUAAAGACUGUCUUCAAUGAACUGGUUAUGAUAUAUGCUCAGGCAGCCUUCAGUGAUAACUGAUAAAUCUUAUGCAGCGAAGAGGAAAGUUCAAGGAGGAUUGGCAAUUGAAGUUGAUCAGUAAGCCUGUCAAGACUGCUUCUAGAGCUGGAAACAACACGAGUAAUAGUGUAUCAAUGGAGAAAAAUACUGUGAAACGCAUAACAACUUUAUAAAGUUAUUUAAAAAUAUAUAUAUAAAGAUUCAGACAAAUAUAAUGUGAAUUUUGCUUUUGAGCUGCGAUAGAUGUACUAAAGACGUUGAUGAAGUUGUCAUUCAGCGACCUGUGAUGUUGAAUAGUGAUCAGUUUGUUUGUUUUCAUUGUCCAUUUUCUUCAAAUAAAGCAGAACACAUUCGCGAACAUUUGCAGACUCACUCAGAAUGCCGCCGUAAGUCAUUUUCUCGCAAGGCUUCAGGUGCAAAUCGAUUUACUUGCUACCAGUGUUCUUUUACAACUGAUACUGAAAAGGCGAUUUCAGAGCAUCUGCAAAGUCAUGUAGCUAAACAUCAUUAUAAUUGCUACAUGUGUGACCAGAAAUUUCACUUUAAACAUGAAUUAACUUUGCAUCUUAAAACACAUGCAAGUUGUCAAACAUUCAGGUGUGAUUUGUGCUCACGAGAAUUCUCUCGUCUUAGUAUGCUGUCUUAUCACCGAAAGUAUCAUACAGAUAAAAAAUUGUUUGAAUGUCGUUAUUGCCAUAAAGUGUUUUGCGAUAUUAUUUCAUUCAACCAGCAUGAAAGCAUCCAUACUGACACUAAUUAUGUCAACAGAAAAUAAAUACUUUCUGGACAAGGUGAAUUUCAACAUACACGAUUUAAUUUUAACAUUAACAGCAUUAAUUUCAACCAAAUAGUUUUUUAUAUCCCUUCUGGAUCAAUGUACCUGCAGUUCAGUUUAAAUUUUUUUUUCAUAAUGUUUUAUAUAUAUUUAUGUUGUUCUUGCAAAAAAAAAAAUGUUUACAGUUUGUUCUUGUAAUAUAUUUGACUUGUGAAUGUAAUUCAUAGUGUUUAAGGUCAUAUAAGUGUUAUAUAAUGGUUCUAAAAGACUUCAAACAUUAAUAAAAAUUCUUUUAUUCAGCCUCAUAUUGACUAAAUAUUUUUUCUUUUAAAACAUGAGCAUAUAUAAAUUUGAAAGCAUCGAACUUUAAAAUAAUUUGAAGGAUAAAUAUUGCUCAUUAACCUUUUUCUUCAUUAUGUAAUUUUGAAACAGUGUUGUAUUGUGCUGUGUAUGCCCGAAAUUAAACAUAUUUUUAGAAAAA